AUUGAACGCUGGCGGCAUGCUUUACACAUGCAAGUCGAACGGCAGCGCGGGCUUCGGCCUGGCGGCGAGUGGCGAACGGGUGAGUAAUGCAUCGGAACGUGCCCAGUAGUGGGGGAUAGCCUGGCGAAAGCCGGAUUAAUACCGCAUACGACCUGAGGGUGAAAGCGGGGGACCGAAAGGCCUCGCGCUAUUGGAUCGGCCGAUGUCGGAUUAGCUAGUUGGUGGGGUAAAGGCUUACCAAGGCGACGAUCCGUAGCUGGUCUGAGAGGACGACCAGCCACACUGAGACUGGACCACGGCCCAGACUCCUACGGGAGGCAGCAGUGGGGAAUUUUGGACAAUGGGGGCAACCCUGAUCCAGCCAUGCCGCGUGCGGGAAGAAGGCCUUCGGGUUGUAAACCGCUUUUGUUCGGGAAGAAAUCCUCUGGGCUAAUACCCCGGGGGGAUGACGGUACCGGAAGAAUAAGCACCGGCUAACUACGU
Molecule: ribosomal RNA, 483 nt
Filed under: uncultured bacterium
Lineage: Bacteria
Description: partial 16S ribosomal RNA
Rfam family: Bacterial small subunit ribosomal RNA
Source: RNAcentral